Long non-coding RNA from Diceros bicornis minor, 589 nucleotides. RefSeq lists it as uncharacterized. The transcript has 3 exons. The record is from RefSeq and is a predicted model, not a curated record. NCBI's taxonomy places the organism in Eukaryota, Metazoa, Chordata, Mammalia, Perissodactyla, Rhinocerotidae.
UUGCAGACCUCGGAAGGAAGCAGAGAUGAUCACAGCAUUGGCUGUCUCUUGGAGCUGAGAAGUGUGGGAUGAGGAGGAGGAUACAUCUUUUGGGUGAGGAGAGUUGACUGAGAUUGACGCAGAACCUGAGCAAGCGGAAAAACCAGGCACCAGCUCUCCAGGAAGGGAAGCUGACAAGGAAUUUUUGGGCCCUAAACCAAGGUGGAGCAAACCCACUACUGGAGACGAAGGCCAGUGCCUUCCACAAGAACUCUGAUGUCUGGACCAAGAGAGUUGCCACCCAGGAUUCACAAUGAGGAAUCCUCAAGAUGCCAAAGAGGUUUCAUGUUCCUGAGAGUUCUCUGGGAACUAAGAUGAGGAGAAUGACUAUUACCCCUUCUGUUUCACAUUUUGUCACAAGGCACCAAAGCAGUAUUUCUUAUAGCACCAUUGUCAUCCAGAAUCUCUAAUAAAAACAAAUCACUUCCUCUGUCUCCAUCCCACUCCCAUAAGAGCUGGAAUGUCACUAUGCACUUUGGCUUGGAAAUUAAUAUUUUAGGCUUACAGGUUCUUAGAAGACUUACUGAAUCCAUGGUCCACCGCAGCAUCA